UUCCGGUUGAUCCCGUCGGACCCGACUGCUAUCAGAGUGGGACUAAGCCAUGCGAGUCAACAUAGCAAUAUGUGGCAUACGGCUCAGUAACACGUAGUCAACAUGCCCAGGGGACGUGGAUAACCUCGGGAAACUGAGGAUAAACCGCGAUAGGUCAUCACUUCUGGAAUGGGUAAUGACUUAAAUCUAUAUGGCCCCUGGAUUGGACUGCGGCCGAUCAGGCUGUUGGUGAGGUAAUGGCCCACCAAACCUGUAACCGGUACGGGCUCUGAGAGGAGGAGCCCGGAGAUGGGCACUGAGACAAGGGCCCAGGCCCUAUGGGGCGCAGCAGGCGCGAAACCUCUGCAGUAGGCGAAAGCUUGACAGGGUUACUCUGAGUGAUUUCCGUUAAGGAGAUCUUUUGGCACCUCUAAAAAUGGUGCAGAAUAAGGGGUGGGCAAGUCUGGUGUCAGCCGCCGCGGUAAUACCAGCACCCCGAGUGGUCGGGACGUUUAUUGGGCCUAAAGCAUCCGUAGCCGGUUCUACAAGUCUUCCGUUAAAUCCACCUGCUUAACAGAUGGGCUGCGGAAGAUACUAUAGAGCUAGGAGGCGGGAGAGGCAAGCGGUACUCGAUGGGUAGGGGUAAAAUCCGUUGAUCCAUUGAAGACCACCAGUGGCGAAGGCGGCUUGCCAGAACGCGCUCGACGGUGAGGGAUGAAAGCUGGGGGAGCGAACCGGAUUAGAUACCCGGGUAGUCCCAGCCGUAAACGAUGCGAGCUAGAUGAUUCGGUCGCAAAUCGCGAUCGAAGUGUCGCAGGGAAGCCGUUAAGCUCGCCGCCUGGGGAGUACGGUCGCAAGACUGAAACUUAAAGGAAUUGGCGGGGGAGCA
This 868-nucleotide ribosomal RNA is filed under the name uncultured archaeon. Its description in RNAcentral is "bacterial SSU rRNA". It matches the Rfam family "Archaeal small subunit ribosomal RNA", at positions 1 to 878 of the family's 1478-position model. The record is from RNAcentral.